Molecule: non-coding RNA, 24 nt
Filed under: Gossypium hirsutum (cotton)
Lineage: Eukaryota; Viridiplantae; Streptophyta; Magnoliopsida; Malvales; Malvaceae
Source: RNAcentral
AAGAGGGCUGGUUCCGAAACGUGC